UCGAUGAUGAGCAAUAAAAAGCUGACUUAAUAUGAUGAACCUUUCGGGGUAUCUGAG
Molecule: small nucleolar RNA, 57 nt
Filed under: Methanocaldococcus jannaschii DSM 2661
Lineage: Archaea; Methanobacteriati; Methanobacteriota; Methanococci; Methanococcales; Methanocaldococcaceae
Description: Small nucleolar RNA sR5
Rfam family: Small nucleolar RNA sR5
Source: Rfam by way of RNAcentral